Molecule: long non-coding RNA, 335 nt
Filed under: Nicotiana benthamiana
Lineage: Eukaryota; Viridiplantae; Streptophyta; Magnoliopsida; Solanales; Solanaceae
Description: long non-coding RNA (NBEN_LNC037812)
Source: RNAcentral
UCUGAUUUCUGCUGUAAUUUUGAAGAUACAGUUCAAAAGUUAGUCAGAAUUUGUAUUUUGGCUGUAAGGAAUUUUUUUCUUCCAAGGAAAGUUAGUAGUAAUUACCUUGAAUACGUGAAAUGGAAGUUUGUUCAUCGUGUUUCCAGUUCUGCUCUCCAAAUUUUUGCCACCCAGGUUCAUAUUAUUUUAAGUUUCAGUAUUAAAGUUGUAAAUUAUGUGGAAGCUUGUUCAUCGUGUUUCCAGUUCUGCUCUCCAAAUUUUUGCCACCCAGGUUCAUAUUAUUUUAGUGUUUCAGCUAUUAAAGUUGUAAAUUAUUGUUAUACAGUGAAAAGUCC